Pelobates cultripes (western spadefoot toad) is the source of this 390-nucleotide non-coding RNA. NCBI's taxonomy places the organism in Eukaryota, Metazoa, Chordata, Amphibia, Anura, Pelobatidae. The record is from the annotation of a GenBank genome assembly.
CAGCUGGCUUAUCCUAUCGUGUGGCUGCUUCAUUGCUAGGUGAAUAGCUAGGAGUUCUCAUACAGUAUUUGUUAUGGCCCUACCUGGCCUGGUCAGCUCGCUUGGGCUUAGUAAACUAUUCCCUUAGACAUUCUAUGAACAGGCUGAGAUGUAGGCUUAUUAAGACAUAUGGUAUAGAAAGGCUGAGCUGAGGCCAGUUACUACAGCACUGGUAACACAGUCUAAUCUAAGUGGACACAUAGGCUAUGUAAUUGCAUGCUAAAAACAUCAGGCUUCUUUUACAUUAUGAGAGUCCUUCUCAACAUCAGACUGUAAUGGGCAAUUGAGUAAAUUAUGGGGUAAGUUGUGGAGGACCCUAGUCUGACAGGGUGCAGACAACCUUGACUGGGC